Molecule: ribosomal RNA, 497 nt
Filed under: uncultured bacterium
Lineage: Bacteria
Description: partial 16S ribosomal RNA
Rfam family: Bacterial small subunit ribosomal RNA
Source: RNAcentral
GAUGAACGCUGGCGGCGUGCCUAAUACAUGCAAGUCGAGCGAACAGACGAGGAGCUUGCUCCUCUGACGUUAGCGGCGGACGGGUGAGUAACACGUGGAUAACCUACCUAUAAGACUGGGAUAACUUCGGGAAACCGGAGCUAAUACCGGAUAAUAUAUUGAACCGCAUGGUUCAAUAGUGAAAGACGGUUUUGCUGUCACUUAUAGAUGGAUCCGCGCCGCAUUAGCUAGUUGGUAAGGUAACGGCUUACCAAGGCAACGAUGCGUAGCCGACCUGAGAGGGUGAUCGGCCACACUGGAACUGAGACACGGUCCAGACUCCUACGGGAGGCAGCAGUAGGGAAUCGUCCGCAAUGGGCGAAAGCCUGACGGAGCAACGCCGCGUGAGUGAUGAAGGUCUUCGGAUCGUAAAACUCUGUUAUUAGGGAAGAACAAAUGUGUAAGUAGCUAUGCACGUCUUGACGGUACCUGAUCAGAAAGCCACGGCUAACUACGUG